AGUUUGCCCAAGUAUCAAAUUGAAGUUGGGAAACUCUUUAUAUAAGUUAUCUAUCAAUUCUAUAAAACAAUACAUUUUUGAGAGCCCACAUCAAUUCUCUAUCCUACGUGGCGCUCUCAAAAGUCUCUAUUUCGAUUUAUCUAAAUUCUACAUUUUACUCCUUUGAAAAAACUCAGCUUCUCACAGUAAUCAAUCUGCAAAUACCUUGAUUUGGUAUUUUCUCCCCAUCGCUUGAUCUAUGGUGCAAAUUUCUCUCUCCAUAUCAAUGCAAAUGCCCUAAUUUGGUAUCUAACGCUUUACCAUAGGAGCCUCCGAGGCAUGCCAGCUCUUCUCUGACGCCCUACCAUAUAUGCGGCCUGUCUUGCUCUCCCAUCGCCUCUCUCCCACUCCCAAAUCUAUAAUCCUAAGUCGCCGCGAGCUUCGUCUCCUCCAGUCGCCGCCGCCGCCGGCUGCAACUCACCAGGCAAUGCCCCAUUCUUUUCAACAUUGAGCUCAAACACGUUUGGUUCCAGAACCGCAGGAAUUAGGAAAUGAACAAUCUACGAUGCCUAAUCCACGCCAGUCACCGGCGUGAGGAAAAAGCCAUUCGCCAACCCAUUGGCUGACAUUUUCAAGUUUUGAGGCUAUGUGGGAAUCCAUAGUUCAGGAUUCAGAGACUUCCUGUUGAAGCCUGAGCUUUAGAGGGGUGUUGUCUUGAACAGGAAGCAAAAAGACAGCCUCUAGCAACGAGGUUGACAAGAAAAGCAAUUCUUGCUGCUGCAGCUAUUAAUUGAACCAAGUUGAACCCAGCAUCACCAUGAUUCUUUAAUGCUAUGACUGUAUUAUAUGAUUUGUUAGCUACAAAAUCACUACCCUCAUGCCGUCAUGGUUUUUAUUAUUUUUCACGAAAUUGGUUGUUUAUUGUUAUUAAUUGAUAAACUAAGAAUGAAUGCAUGUAUGUAUACCACAAAAGAUGAAAAUGUAUGAUCAUCUAUUUGUAAUUUGUUUAUUCAAUGAAUCGGCCAAUGCGGUUUUUAACCUUUGGAAUAAA
Molecule: long non-coding RNA, 1030 nt
Organism: Salvia miltiorrhiza (redroot sage)
Lineage: Eukaryota; Viridiplantae; Streptophyta; Magnoliopsida; Lamiales; Lamiaceae
Exons: 3
Source: RefSeq, a predicted model, not a curated record